GGGGAAUAUUGCACAAUGAGCGAAAGCUUGAUGCAGCGACGCCGCGUGAGGGAUGACGGCUUUCGGGUUGUAAACCUCUUUUGGCAGGGAACAAGUCCAGGUUUUGGCCUGGUUGAGGGUACCUGCAUAAGAAGCGCCGGCUAACUACGUGCCAGCAGCCGCGGUAAUACGUAGGGCGCGAGCGUUGUCCGGAAUUAUUGGGCGUAAAGAGCUCGUAGGCGGCUUGUCGCGUCUGCUGUGAAAACGCGGGGCUUAACUCCGCGCUUGCAGUGGGUACGGGCAGGCUUGAGUGUAGUAGGGGAGACUGGAAUUCCUGGUGUAGCGGUGGAAUGCGCAGAUAUCAGGAGGAACACCGAUGGCGAAGGCAGGUCUCUGGGCUAUAACUGACGCUGAGGAGCGAAAGCAUGGGGAGCGAAC
RNAcentral lists this ribosomal RNA (417 nucleotides) under uncultured bacterium. Its description in RNAcentral is "bacterial SSU rRNA". It matches the Rfam family "Bacterial small subunit ribosomal RNA", at positions 356 to 773 of the family's 1533-position model. The record is from RNAcentral.